CGAACGCUGGCGGCGUGCUUAACACAUGCAAGUCGAACGGAAAGGCCCUGCUUUUGUGGGGUGCUCGAGUGGCGAACGGGUGAGUAACACGCGAGUAACCUGCCCUUGACUUUGGGAUAACUUCAGGAAACUGGGGCUAAUACCGGAUAGGAGCUCCUGCUGCAUGGUGGGGGUUGGAAAGUUUCGGCGGUUGGGGAUGGACUCGCGGCUUAUCAGCUUGUUGGUGGGGUAGUGGCUUACCAAGGCUUUGACGGGUAGCCGGCCUGAGAGGGUGACCGGCCACAUUGGGACUGAGAUACGGCCCAGACUCCUACGGGAGGCAGCAGUGGGGAAUAUUGCACAAUGGGCGGAAGCCUGAUGCAGCAACGCCGCGUGCGGGAUGACGGCCUUCGGGUUGUAAACCGCUUUCGCCUGUGACGAAGCGUGAGUGACGGUAAUGGGUAAAGAAGCACCGGCUAACUACGUGCCAGCAGCCGCGGUGAUACGUAGGGUGCGAGCGUUGUCCGGAUUUAUUGGGCGUAAAGGGCUCGUAGGUGGUUGAUCGCGUCGGAAGUGUAAUCUUGGGGCUUAACCCUGAGCGUGCUUUCGAUACGGGUUGACUUGAGGAAGGUAGGGGAGAAUGGAAUUCCUGGUGGAGCGGUGGAAUGCGCAGAUAUCAGGAGGAACACCAGUGGCGAAGGCGGUUCUCUGGGCCUUUCCUGACGCUGAGGAGCGAAAGCGUGGGGAGCGAACAGGCUUAGAUACCCUGGUAGUCCACGCUGUAAACGGUGGGUACUAGGUGUGGGGUCCAUUCCACGGGUUCCGUGCCGUAGCUAACGCUUUAAGUACCCCGCCUGGGGAGUACGGCCGCAAGGCUAAAACUCAAAGGAAUUGACGGGGCCCCGCACAAGCGGCGGAGCAUGCGGAUUAAUUCGAUGCAACGCGUAGAACCUUACCUGGGUUUGACAUGGAUCGGGAGUGCUCAGAGAUGGGUGUGCCUCUUUUGGGGUCGGUUCACAGGUGGUGCAUGGCUGUCGUCAGCUCGUGUCGUGAGAUGUUGGGUUAAGUCCCGCAACGAGCGCAACCCUUGUUCACUGUUGCCAGCACGUUAUGGUGGGGACUCAGUGGAGACCGCCGGGGUCAACUCGGAGGAAGGUGGGGAUGACGUCAAGUCAUCAUGCCCCUUAUGUCCAGGGCUUCACGCAUGCUACAAUGGCUGGUACAGAGAGUGGCGAGCCUGUGAGGGUGAGCGAAUCUCGGAAAGCCGGUCUCAGUUCGGAUUGGGGUCUGCAACUCGACCUCAUGAAGUCGGAGUCGCUAGUAAUCGCAGAUCAGCAACGCUGCGGUGAAUACGUUCCCGGGGCUUGUACACACCGCCCGUCAAGUCAUGAAAGUUGGUAACACCCGAAGCCGGUGGCCUACCCGAUGUGGGGGAGCCGUCGAAGGUGGGACUGGUG
This 1436-nucleotide ribosomal RNA is filed under the name uncultured organism. RNAcentral's name for it is "16S ribosomal RNA". It matches the Rfam family "Bacterial small subunit ribosomal RNA". The record is from RNAcentral.